Small nuclear RNA from Suncus etruscus (white-toothed pygmy shrew), 103 nucleotides. The record is from RefSeq and is a predicted model, not a curated record. NCBI's taxonomy places the organism in Eukaryota, Metazoa, Chordata, Mammalia, Eulipotyphla, Soricidae.
GUGCUCACUUCGGCAGCACAUAUACUAAAAUUAGAACAAUACAGAGAUUAGAUGGCUCUUGUGCAAGGAUGACACACCAAUUCGAGAAGUGUUCCAUAUUAAA